CAGAGCGCCAGGCUAAUUUGCAGCUUUGCCCACUGAGAAAAUUGGGACUUCCUAUUCUCAGCCCUCUGCACCUUACAGGUCCUGCCUUCCUCCUUCAGACAUGCACCUCUGGACCAGAAUAGGAGAUGAGGUCUCAAAGUAGGGAUACCUUCCAUAGCAGGAGAAGGUAAUAAAUCAUAGCUGUGAGUACAAUUAUCUGCUGAGUCCUGCAAGUCCUCCUAGCAAAUCACUGAACCUGAGGAUGGUUUUGACGACCCUCAACACAAUGAUCCCAUCCAGAUACCACAUUACACUGAGUUGUCACAUCUCCUUGGUCUCCUUUGGUCUGUGAUGAUUUCUCAGACUUUCCUUGGUUUCAAUGACAUUGAUAGUUUUGGGUGUAUUGCUCAGAUAUUGUGCAAAAUAUCCCUCAACUGGGAUUUGUCUGAUGUUUUUCUCAUGAUUAGACUGUGGUUAGGGUUUCAGGAAGAAGACCAUAGAGGUAAAGUACAAUUCUCACCAUUCCCUUAGGAUUUUGAAGUGAAUCCUAGAUAUCAUAUGAUUUCAUAUGCAGAUAUUUCAGAAUGAAGUUUUAAAAGGUAAGGGCUCUUUUUCCUGAGACAUAUCUUUGGCCAGGUAGGAGCCUUCCUUCAAACAGCUGUAGCAGUACAGGUUAAUGAUGCUGAUUCUUUUU
RNAcentral lists this long non-coding RNA (673 nucleotides) under Equus asinus (donkey). RNAcentral describes it as "lncRNA (ENSEASG00005035196.1)". The record is from RNAcentral. Lineage: Eukaryota; Metazoa; Chordata; Mammalia; Perissodactyla; Equidae.